UCUUUAAUCAAACAAGUAUUGAGAAUUUGGUACUCAUUUUUAUACCAGAUUUUAAAAAUUCGUAACACAUUUCGAAAAAUUCGUAACCUGCUUCGAUACCGACUGUUGUUAAUACUGGACCGAUUGUUGCAAUUCCACAACAGAAGCGUCAAAUUAAAUUUUUACCACAAAUCCAUUUUCUCAGCAAAAACUGAUACAAUCACGAAAGAGAAAACCCUGGCUCUCUUCUGUAACAGAGUAGUUUCAAACCCUAGUUCUCUUUCUGAAUCUCUCUCACCCUUCUCUCGUCUUCUACAAAUCCAGAAGAACUCUCUCUCAUCCUGUGCACCCAUACACAAGACAUACUAAUGAACCACGGCCAUGAAAGCCACACACGUCUUUUUGCACUCAUACACUAGGUGUAUCCAAAAUCAUGACCACCUUAGUCAUACCAUAUGGGUGUGGCUAAACCGUACCACCCCCAAAAUAAUAACACCUAUGCUAUAUUUAUAGCUUACAUAAAAACUAUCCAAAUCCUAUUUCAAUUAAAAUUUUACUUUAAUUAAUAUUAAAUUUUAAUUUAUCUUCAAUAGAUUUAAAUAUUAAUAAUAAUUCAGCUAGGAAUAAACUAUACGGCUAAUCAAAUUCUAACAACAAAACAACA
This 643-nucleotide long non-coding RNA is filed under the name Ananas comosus (pineapple). RNAcentral's name for it is "long non-coding RNA (ACOM_LNC016706)". Lineage: Eukaryota; Viridiplantae; Streptophyta; Magnoliopsida; Poales; Bromeliaceae. The record is from RNAcentral.